This 148-nucleotide ribosomal RNA is filed under the name Escherichia coli. RNAcentral's name for it is "partial 23S ribosomal RNA". It matches the Rfam family "Bacterial large subunit ribosomal RNA", at positions 2795 to 2925 of the family's 2925-position model. Lineage: Bacteria; Pseudomonadati; Pseudomonadota; Gammaproteobacteria; Enterobacterales; Enterobacteriaceae. The record is from RNAcentral.
UGCCCCGAGAUGAGUUCUCCCUGACCCUUUAAGGGUCCUGAAGGAACGUUGAAGACGACGACGUUGAUAGGCCGGGUGUGUAAGCGCAGCGAUGCGUUGAGCUAACCGGUACUAAUGAACCGUGAGGCUUAACCUUACAACGCCGAAG